Molecule: long non-coding RNA, 558 nt
Organism: Pistacia vera
Lineage: Eukaryota; Viridiplantae; Streptophyta; Magnoliopsida; Sapindales; Anacardiaceae
Exons: 3
Source: RefSeq, a predicted model, not a curated record
AGGUUUUGCAUGCGAGGUGGGACUUGUAAAGAUAGAAAUACUACUCAUCAUCUAAUUAGGUGAUUUCUGUCGGAAUUCUUGUUGUAGGGAAGCUCUCACAAAAUGAGUUGCUUGAAUGGGUUUAUUUUGGUUUGAUGAUUGAAGAAUGAUUUGAUAGCUGGGGGGAUCUUGUUAUUGCACAUGGGGGAUCUAUCGUGCAUUCUUUUAGCAAUGGCUAGUUCUACAUCAUCGAUUGAUCCAGAUCAAUGACAUCAAUAUCAAGUAUGAUUUACUGACAGUCUAUUCAUUUAUAUCGCGCUGAAAUUUUGUUUUAUAUUUCUUGGAGGUUAUAUACCAAUCAGGUAACAAAGAAAAUGUUACAAAAUGAAGGGAAAAAAAGUACCUGAUUUUAGACAAUAAAGCCUGGGAGGUCAAUGUAACUGUACAUAACAAUAAAACCAUACAAUACAAAGCUCGAAACACACAGCAAAUGGCAAAGCCACAAUUCAGAGGCAAGCAUCAGCUAAUAAUAUUUGAUCAAAACAUCGUGGAGCCAAAGGUUUCUGAUGUUUUGUCUCU